RNAcentral lists this ribosomal RNA (404 nucleotides) under uncultured bacterium. RNAcentral's name for it is "bacterial SSU rRNA". It matches the Rfam family "Bacterial small subunit ribosomal RNA", at positions 355 to 776 of the family's 1533-position model. The record is from RNAcentral.
CAGGGGAUCUUGGGCAAUGGGCGAAAGCCUGACCCAGCGACGCCGCGUGGGGGAUGAAGGCCUUCGGGUCGUAAACUCCUUUUCCAGGGGACGAUAAUGACGGUACCUUGGGAAGAAGCCCCGGCUAACUACGUGCCAGCAGCCGCGGUAAAACGUAGGGGGCGAGCGUUACCCGGAAUCAUUGGGCGUAAAGGGCAUGUAGGCGGUUUGGUCCGUCGUUGGUGAAAGGCCUCAGCUUAACUGGGGAGCCGCUAACGAUACCACCAGACUAGAGGGCAGCAGAGGUGAGUGGAAUUCCCGGCGUAGCGUUGAUAUGCGUAGAGUUCGGGAGGAACACCAGUGGCGAAGGCGACUCACUGGGCUGUCCCUGACGCUAAGGUGCGAAAGCGUGGGGAGCAAACAGG